Molecule: long non-coding RNA, 2250 nt
Organism: Microplitis demolitor
Lineage: Eukaryota; Metazoa; Arthropoda; Insecta; Hymenoptera; Braconidae
Exons: 4
Source: RefSeq, a predicted model, not a curated record
UGUCACAGAGGUAGCACCGACUCCUGACACUUUUAUCCUUCCGGAAUUUCAUAGUCAUUAAAUAUACUAGUCAGGGCCACGUUUUAAACUCUAGCUCUGCGACUUCAAUCAUUCGCUUACUAGAUAUUCCUCUUGCUACCAUCUAUCUGCUAUCUUCAAGAACGAACCUUUUACUGCUGCUGUACUUUGAAAACUUUAUUGAGCCUUGAAGAAAGCCACUAAAAGUCUCGCUAUUCAAAUUUGAAACGUGGAGCUAUCAGCAGUAGCAAAGAUGCGAAUGUAGAAAUGAGUUUUUAUGAAAAAUUCGAAGCUUAUGACACUGCAACUGGAAGCUGGUUUGAUUCUGAAAUUAAUGCUCUGCUUAUGUUCGUUGAGAGUAUGGCUGGUGUUUGAAAAAAUAGAAUUAAAUGAAAAAAUGUAUCGAAUGCUGAGUGAAAGACAGAUGUGUUGGUUGGAGUUUUUGCCUGGUGAGAACGCAGGUGUACGAGUAGUUAGAAGCUGUAUACAAGACUCAUCGAAUGGUUGAAAAUUGAACUUGGUUGAAUUGGUGGCAACUGCCAAAUUAUUUCAAGUAUUAUUUAUUUUCUGCUAUGCUUAAAAUUUCAAUUAAGUUCAUUAGCUCUAUUAGACUUUGCGCACUUGAGUAUUUUCCAAUAAAAAAAUUUCUAUUUUUUAAAUAAAAUUUAAGUUAAGAAAUAAAUAGAUUAUUUAAAUCAGAUUAAUGAUAGAAUGAGAUGACAACAGUUUUUUAAAAAUAAUUAUAACUUUUUUUAUUCAUAUAUUUUCAAUAUAAAUAAUUAUUAGAUUUUAUAAUAAAAAAUAUUUUUAGAGCUCAUUUUUAGUUUGACGCUUAGUCAUUCCGCCGAGACUAGACAAGUUGCCGUAUCUUGAUCCUGAAGAAAUCAAAAUACUGGUGGCCUGUGUGGUCAAGGCUGAACCAGCGGUCGCGUUUCACGUUAAAAUCAUUUUUUAUUUUGAAAAUUUAGGGUCAAAAUGAGCUCAUUUAAGAAAAUGAACAGUAAAUUUAAAGUUUUGAUAAUUAGUUCAGAGGUUAAUUAGUGGUGGGGCCUUGCAGUGCCAGGGAUCUGGCUGCCGUCGGGUCACCACUGAAUGCUCCUUCAGGACAUUUAUUAAUCCGACGAUAGACCUCACAGCGAGUUGGCCACUAUGGGCACAUCCCUUUUUAGGGUUCUGCAUUAUCACUAAAAAUAGCGAGCAGAUAGAGCCGUUCGGUUUCGUACUGUUGGGCGUGCAGAGUUGACAGUAUGGACAGCACGCAGUCAUUGAAUUGAGAAGUUGCAUAUUUUGUAGUUUAUUUUUUUUUUUUAGUUUAAUGAAUUUAACAGUUUUUUAAAAAUGCUAAUUUAACAUUUUAAAAUAUAAAUCAACGCAGCUUCUCUGUUCAAAAUGAUUCUCUAUCUGCUACAGUCUCCGAAUCGGUCGCUUUUCCGACAGAGUCACUGUGUCCCCCAGUUUCUUCAGAACUCGUGGAUGCACCUCUGUAGUAAGGGCAACUGGGCCGGAAUCGGCUGUUGGGGGGACUCUUCCAGAUUUGAAGUAGUGAAAAUAUUGAGCACUUCUUACUAGUGAAUGUACGUCGCUCUUGAAAAACACCGGUUUGCAUCGCUCUGGUAAUUGGUGUAUUUUCCCUAGUUCAUUUUUAGGGAGAUGGGAAGCUAAAUGUGCGCUGGUGCAGUUAAACGAUGCCUGUCCCAAGUGUGUCACCGAGGGAGAGGAUUCACCGGAGUUUUAAAUGUUGUGAGCACCUAGAGUCAUUUUUUGUCCGCCGUUAUUUUAUUUAUUACUAUAUUACAUUACAUUAGGGGAGCCUGGGGCACGAAGGCCCCCUUAAGCCGGUUUUUUCUUUUUGUGGCUUUUAACCAUAAAAUUCAUUUAUUUUCCGUCGAUAUCGAAAGAAUAAGUAGAAAUUUUGCAAAAAAUCGAAAAAAAAAUUUGUUUUUUUUCUGGGGCACGAAGGCCUCCUCUCCAAAAAAUUAUCAACAAAAAUUUUUUUUUUAUUUCCCGUUAAGUUAUGACCUUUAUAAUGUUUUUAUGACGUUUUAGGCCAGUAUGUGAUGUAUGAGGUAAAAUGGACCAUUAAAAAAAAAAAAUUGUCACAAAAAAAUUAACUUGACGGAAAAUAAAAAAAAAAUAAUUUUUUCUUUAUAAUUUUUUUUUCGAGUUGUCCGUUUUGCCCCUCAUAUCACAUAUUGACUUAAAAUAUAAUAAAAACAUUAUAAAGGUCAUACU